UCCCGCCACUACGUGAAUGGUGCCCUCCCGCUUGUCGGCUGGAGGGUGAAACGGGAAGCCGGUGCCGCAGGAGAUCUCCAUCUCCUGCCAGUCCGGCGCAGCCCCCGCUGCUGUAUGCCUGACGAUUUUGUUCAUACGCCACUGUGCAGCGCACGGGAAGGCAAGGACAAAAGAGGAUGAAGGCAAGCCAGAAGACCGGCCUUCACGCUUGAUAGUGC
RNAcentral lists this non-coding RNA (218 nucleotides) under Massilia sp. CF038. Lineage: Bacteria; Pseudomonadati; Pseudomonadota; Betaproteobacteria; Burkholderiales; Oxalobacteraceae. RNAcentral also lists the same sequence under 1 other name. The record is from RNAcentral.